RNAcentral lists this transfer RNA (65 nucleotides) under Epuraea sp. Its description in RNAcentral is "tRNA-Leu". It matches the Rfam family "tRNA". From Rfam's summary of the family: Transfer RNA (tRNA) molecules are approximately 80 nucleotides in length. Their secondary structure includes four short double-helical elements and three loops (D, anti-codon, and T loops). The record is from RNAcentral. Lineage: Eukaryota; Metazoa; Arthropoda; Insecta; Coleoptera; Nitidulidae.
UCUAAUAUGGCAGAAUAGUGCGCUGGAUUUAAGCCCCAAAUAUAAAGCUUAAACUUUUUUUAGAA